This 585-nucleotide ribosomal RNA is filed under the name uncultured bacterium. Its description in RNAcentral is "bacterial SSU rRNA". It matches the Rfam family "Bacterial small subunit ribosomal RNA", at positions 102 to 683 of the family's 1533-position model. The record is from RNAcentral.
ACGGGUGAGUAAUGUCUGGGGAUCUGCCCGAUAGAGGGGGAUAACCACUGGAAACGGUGGCUAAUACCGCAUAACGUCGCAAGACCAAAGAGGGGGACCUUCGGGCCUCUCACUAUCGGAUGAACCCAGAUGGGAUUAGCUAGUAGGCGGGGUAACGGCCCACCUAGGCGACGAUCCCUAGCUGGUCUGAGAGGAUGGCCAGCCACACUGGAACUGAGACACGGUCCAGACUCCUACGGGAGGCAGCAGUGGGGAAUAUUGCACAAUGGGCGCAAGCCUGAUGCAGCCAUGCCGCGUGUAUGAAGAAGGCCUUCGGGUUGUAAAGUACUUUCAGCGGGGAGGAAGGCGAUAAGGUUAAUAACCUUGUCGAUCGACGUUACCCGCAGAAGAAGCACCGGCUAACUCCGUGCCAGCAGCCGCGGUAAUACGGAGGGUGCAAGCGUUAAUCGGAAUUACUGGGCGUAAAGCGCACGCAGGCGGUCUGUUAAGUCAGAUGUGAAAUCCCCGGGCUUAACCUGGGAACUGCAUUUGAAACUGGCAGGCUUGAGUCUCGUAGAGGGGGGUAGAAUUCCAGGUGUAGCGGUG